RNAcentral lists this long non-coding RNA (1083 nucleotides) under Equus caballus (horse). Its description in RNAcentral is "lncRNA (ENSECAG00000051942.1)". The record is from RNAcentral. Lineage: Eukaryota; Metazoa; Chordata; Mammalia; Perissodactyla; Equidae.
CUCCCCUGCCUCCCAGGGUCUGUGUGCCUCGUGCACCCCUUAGAGAAGACCCCCAUGGGGCUUACGAAAAUCCAGCUCUUUUGGAUUGAACUGACCUUUCCAGCCCUGGCCAGGACCUCCAAAGCACUCCACCCAUGGACCCUAAUGAAGGCACGUCCCCCUGAUUCCGCUGCUCUCUCUGUCUGUACUCUGCCUUGACCUCCCUGUGUGGCCACUCAGGGUACGCCGUGAACUUCUUCCAGGACUUGUGAGCCAUAAACUUUCCUCUUUAAAUUUCCCUGUGGUCUCUCGUUGAACCGUGGCUCACCAUCUGACACCCUGUGCUCCACUUAACAAAUGUUAAUUUAACCAAGUCACAAUAGGAGCAGAGCAUAGAGUUUUGGAGGUUCUGUGUGGUGACCUCCAAAGUCUAGGGUGCGGCCCGGAAUGGGUAGGUGGAGUUCACUGGAGUCCAGGGGUUAAGAAGUGUUGAAGGUUAGGGAUCGGAAUGGGUCAUCCACAGGAUGAUCUCUUUUUUGGACAAAUCCAAUACUGUACCUGAUGGAGAGGAAGGUGCUGGACUGGAAGCUCCCCUGGUUGGUUUUCUGGAAGCUGAUGGAGUCAGAUUGAAACUGUUCGGCCGUCUUUGAGAGCAUUUGCAUUUUCGUUCUGGGAACCCUCCAUGUUACUUGCUCACUCCUCUGCUGGGCUGUUGAUAUCUCUCUUUCUCUCCACCCUUUUUGAGAACGAGGUCUUUAUUUUUUGGCCACUGCUCCUUUUCUUCCUCCCAGUCCAAAGAGAAUGGAAGCUAAAGAGCUGCUCGCACACAGAGCUUCUUUUCUUCUUUUUGAUCCCCAGCCUCACAGACUGUCUGCUUCCUGCAAAUAUGGCUUUCCCGUGCGAUCCUCCUUCAGCCUGGUCUCCGAUGCUCCCUCGCCACGACCAAACCAGGCCCAGGUGCUCCUACCACCAGCCAUGCCCCCAGCUCCUUUGGAAGGAAUCAAGAGAUAAUGGGUCAUGCACCUCGAUUUGUACCACUCGCUCAGGAGAACUCUGCUUCUGCAGAUUUUUAUUUAAAAAUAAAAAGAUUUGCAGCUGCAGCCA